GUAAAGUGGCGAACGGGUGAGUAACACGUGGGCAAUCUGCCCCUCGCAGGGGGACAACUGGAGGAAACUCCAGCUAAUACCCCGUACGCUUCACGGAUCGCAUGAUCCAUGAAGGAAAGGUAGCUUCGGCCAUCCGGCGAGGGAUGAGCCCGCGUUCCAUUAGCUUGUUGGUGGGGUAACGGCCUACCAAGGCUACGAUGGAUAGCUGGUCUGAGAGGAUGAUCAGCCACACUGGGACUGAGACACGGCCCAGACUCCUACGGGAGGCAGCAGUCGGGAAUCUUGCGCAAUGGGCGAAAGCCUGACGCAGCACCACCGUGUGUGUGAGGAAGGCCUUCGGGUCGUAAAGCACUGUUGUUAGGGACGAAGGGUGAGAGGUUAAUAGCCUUGAGCUUGACGGUACCUUUCGAGGAAGCUCCGGCUAACUACGUGCCAGCAGCCGCGGUAAUACGUAGGGAGCGAGCGUUGUCCGGAAUUAUUGGGCGUAAAGAGCGUGUAGGCGGUUCGGUAAGUCUGUUGUGAAAUCUUGGGGCUCAACCCUGAGCGUGCAACGGAUACUGCCGGGCUAGAGGGUGGUAGAGGCAAGUGGAAUUCCGAGUGUAGCGGUGAAAUGCGCAGAUAUUCGGAGGAACACCAGUAGCGAAGGCGGCUUGCUGGACCACACCUGACGCUGAGACGCGAAAGCUAGGGGAGCGAACAGGAUUAGAUACCCUGGUAGUCCUAGCCGUAAACGAUGGACACUAGGUGUGG
This 750-nucleotide ribosomal RNA is filed under the name uncultured Rubrobacter sp. RNAcentral's name for it is "bacterial SSU rRNA". It matches the Rfam family "Bacterial small subunit ribosomal RNA", at positions 90 to 825 of the family's 1533-position model. The record is from RNAcentral. Lineage: Bacteria; Bacillati; Actinomycetota; Rubrobacteria; Rubrobacterales; Rubrobacteraceae.